This 465-nucleotide ribosomal RNA is filed under the name uncultured bacterium. RNAcentral describes it as "bacterial SSU rRNA". It matches the Rfam family "Bacterial small subunit ribosomal RNA", at positions 335 to 799 of the family's 1533-position model. The record is from RNAcentral.
ACUCCUACGGGAGGCAGCAGUGGGGAAUAUUGCACAAUGGGCGAAAGCCUGAUGCAGCGACGCCGCGUGAGGGACGACGGCCUCGGUUGUAACCUCUUUCUAGUAGGGAACAAGGCAUCAUUUUGUUGGUGUUGAGGGUACUUGCAGAAGAAGCACCGGCUAACUACGUGCCAGCAGCCGCGGUAAUACGUAGGGUGCAAGCGUUAUCCGGAAUUAUUGGGCGUAAAGAGCUCGUAGGCGGUUUGUCGCGUCUGUCGUGAAAGUCCGGGGCUCAACUCCGGAUCUGCGGUGGGUACGGGCAGGACUAGAGUGAUGUAGGGGAGACUGGAAUUCCUGGUGUAGCGGUGGAAUGCGCAGAUAUCAGGAGGAACACCGAUGGCGAAGGCAGGUCUCUGGGCAUUAACUGACGCUGAGGAGCGAAAGCAUGGGGAGCGGAACAGGAUUAGAUACCCUGGUAGGAUAGCG